CAAAGGAGCAAUCCGCUGAAAGAUGGGCUCGCGUCCGAUUAGGUAGUUGGCGGGGCAACGGCCCACCAAGCCGACGAUCGGUAGCCGGACUGAGAGGUUGAACGGCCACAUUGGGACUGAGACACGGCCCAGACUCCUACGGGAGGCAGCAGUGAGGGAUAUUGGUCAAUGGGGGAAACCCUGAACCAGCAACGCCCCGUGAGGGAAGACGGUUUUCGGAUUGUAAACCUCUGUCCUCUGUGAAGAUGAUGACGGUAGCAGAGGAGGAAGCUCCGGCUAACUACGUGCCAGCAGCCGCGGUAAUACGUAGGGAGCAAGCGUUGUCCGGAUUUACUGGGUGUAAAGGGUGCGUAGGCGGCUUUGCAAGUCAGAAGUGAAAUCCAUGGGCUUAACCCAUGAACUGCUUUUGAAACUGCAGAGCUUGAGUGGAGUAGAGGUAGGCGGAAUUCCCGGUGUAGCGGUGAAAUGCGUAGAGAUCGGGAGGAACACCAGUGGCGAAGGCGGCCUGCUGGGCUCUAACUGACGCUGAGGCACGAAAGCGUGGGUAGCAAACAGGAUUAGAUACCCUGGUAGUCCACGCUGUAAACGAUGAUUACUAGGUGUGGGUGGACUGACCCCAUCC
RNAcentral lists this ribosomal RNA (622 nucleotides) under uncultured bacterium. Its description in RNAcentral is "bacterial SSU rRNA". It matches the Rfam family "Bacterial small subunit ribosomal RNA", at positions 202 to 842 of the family's 1533-position model. The record is from RNAcentral.